Molecule: long non-coding RNA, 596 nt
Filed under: Coffea arabica (coffee)
Lineage: Eukaryota; Viridiplantae; Streptophyta; Magnoliopsida; Gentianales; Rubiaceae
Description: long non-coding RNA (CARA_LNC000440)
Source: RNAcentral
CUGUCUGGUCAAUGAAAAUAACUUCUGUCCCUUAGCAUUCUAGUAAGAAAUGCAACAACAAACGAUGCUGUCCUUUGUCCAAUAACAUAAGCUAUGCCUUCUAAGACUCUGGAAAGCAUCACAAUGGUACAUUUCAGUAUGGCUCCAAUUAUAAUGAACAAUGAAAGCAGGUCUGGUGACUAGUGCAAGAAAAUCAGAAAGACCAGAUUCUUUCACAAUAAAAAGACCUGUCAAGCACCAAGUAAAUAUAAAAAUCUUAAAGAGCAAAAGACAAGCUGUAAGAAUAGGGUAAAAGUUCACAAACAGACAAAAGUACAUGAAAAUGCCCUGUUUUUAGGCCAAUUACAUGACUCAAGCAUACUAGAAUGCAAACUUGCACCAAUUCCUUGUACUUUUAAUAAAUUGGAUGGAGGUAAGAAAAGAGUUCUUGGUGAGAGAAAUGCUGCAUUAUCACUUUUCUGCACAACAUACCUCCUGAGCUCUUCUUUUUCUUCAACAACGAUGGGAAACACCAUGAAGCUGAUGUUUGAGCACUAUCAAUGCUUUUUUGUUCACCGUCUCUGCCUGCUAGUUCAUUGUCGUCAAUUUCUUCUUCU